CCAUUUACGACCUCUUGACAA
RNAcentral lists this unclassified non-coding RNA (21 nucleotides) under Dictyostelium discoideum. The record is from RNAcentral. Lineage: Eukaryota; Evosea; Eumycetozoa; Dictyosteliales; Dictyosteliaceae.